UUCAUGUCUCUGGUUAAUUGUUUUGCUGU
This 29-nucleotide non-coding RNA is filed under the name Mus musculus (house mouse). Lineage: Eukaryota; Metazoa; Chordata; Mammalia; Rodentia; Muridae. The record is from RNAcentral.